UAAUCAUCAAGGACCCCCUCUCCUCUCAUGGGAGGGAAGGGGCCUUGGACUUGGACGCGCUGCCGGCCGGAGACGGUCGGCUCGUCCCAAACGCAUCAGCCUCCCAUCCCCUCGGCUUUUGGAGUGUUCUCACUCGGCGUGAUAAGAUCACCCGUCGAGGGCUCCCUUCCGCCGGACAUGGGGGAUCGGCUUCUAACCGUCCACGAGGACAAAUCACCUGACC
This 223-nucleotide unclassified non-coding RNA is filed under the name uncultured Botryobasidium. RNAcentral's name for it is "sequence contains ITS2". Lineage: Eukaryota; Fungi; Basidiomycota; Agaricomycetes; Cantharellales; Botryobasidiaceae. The record is from RNAcentral.